This is a non-coding RNA of Salvelinus sp. IW2-2015, 376 nucleotides long. The record is from RefSeq and is a predicted model, not a curated record. NCBI's taxonomy places the organism in Eukaryota, Metazoa, Chordata, Actinopteri, Salmoniformes, Salmonidae.
ACUAGAACAGCUUCUGCCUGUUAAAUCAGUUUCUGGAUCACAGGUCUAGAACAGCUUCUAUCCCAGUUCUAUCUGCCUGUUAAAUCAGUUUCUGUAUCACAGGUUCUAGAACAGCUUCUAUCCCACUUCUAUCUGCCUGUUAAAUCAGUUUCUGGAUCACAGGUUCUAGAACAGCUUCUAUCCCAUCUAUCUGCCUGUUAAAUCAGUUUCUGGAUCACAGGUUCUAGAACAGCUUCUAUCCCAUUCUAUCUGCCUGUUAAAUCAGUUUCUGGAUCACAGGUUCUAGAACAGCUUCUAUCCCAGUUCUAUCUGCCUGUUAAAUCAGUUUCUGGACCACAGGUUCUAGAACAGCUUCUAUCCCAGUUCUAUCUGCCUG